This 465-nucleotide ribosomal RNA is filed under the name Vreelandella stevensii. RNAcentral describes it as "partial 16S ribosomal RNA". It matches the Rfam family "Bacterial small subunit ribosomal RNA", at positions 338 to 795 of the family's 1533-position model. Lineage: Bacteria; Pseudomonadati; Pseudomonadota; Gammaproteobacteria; Oceanospirillales; Halomonadaceae. The record is from RNAcentral.
CCUACGGGGGGCUGCAGUGGGGAAUAUUGGACAAUGGGGGGAACCCUGAUCCAGCCAUGCCGCGUGUGUGAAGAAGGCCCUCGGGUUGUAAAGCACUUUCAGUGAGGAAGAACGCCUGGUGGUUAAUACCCAUCAGGAAAGACAUCACUCACAGAAGAAGCACCGGCUAACUCCGUGCCAGCAGCCGCGGUAAUACGGAGGGUGCGAGCGUUAAUCGGAAUUACUGGGCGUAAAGCGCGCGUAGGUGGCUUGAUAAGGCGGUUGUGAAAGCCCCGGGCUCAACCUGGGAACGGCAUCCGGAACUGUCAAGCUAGAGUGCAGGAGAGGAAGGUAGAAUUCCCGGUGUAGCGGUGAAAUGCGUAGAGAUCGGGAGGAAUACCAGUGGCGAAGGCGGCCUUCUGGACUGACACUGACACUGAGGUGCGAAAGCGUGGGUAGCAAACAGGAUUAGAUACCCUGGUAGUC